RNAcentral lists this ribosomal RNA (253 nucleotides) under uncultured bacterium. RNAcentral's name for it is "partial 16S ribosomal RNA". It matches the Rfam family "Bacterial small subunit ribosomal RNA", at positions 524 to 776 of the family's 1533-position model. The record is from RNAcentral.
UACGAAGGGGGCAAGCGUUGUUCGGAAUUACUGGGCGUAAAGGGCGCGUAGGCGGCUUAUCAAGUCAGGCGUGAAAUUCCCGGGCUCAACCUGGGGGCUGCGCUUGAUACUGAUGAGCUUGAAUGCGGGAGAGGAUAGUGGAAUUCCCAGUGUAGAGGUGAAAUUCGUAGAUAUUGGGAAGAACACCGGUGGCGAAGGCGGCGCUCUGGAACGUUUCUGACGCUGAGGCUCGAAAGCGUGGGGAGCAAACAGG